UUGUUGGUAAGGUAAAAGCUUACCAAGGCUUCGAUCAGUAGCUGGUCUGAGAGGACGACCAGCCACACUGGGACUGAGACACGGCCCAGACUCCUACGGGAGGCAGCAGUGGGGAAUUUUGGACAAUGGGGGCAACCCUGAUCCAGCCAUGCCGCGUGAGUGAAGAAGGCCUUCGGGUUGUAAAGCUCUUUCAGCCGGAACGAAACGGUUACGGUUAAUACCCGUGACUACUGACGGUACCGGAAGAAGAAGCACCGGCUAACUACGUGCCAGCAGCCGCGGUAGUACGUAGGGUGCGAGCGUUAAUCGGAAUUACUGGGCGUAAAGCGUGCGCAGGUGGUUUUGUAAGUCAGAUGUGAAAGCCCCGGGCUCAACCUGGGAACUGCGUUUGAAACUACAAGACUAGAGUGUGGCAGAGGGGGGUGGAAUUCCGCGUGUAGCAGUGAAAUGCGUAGAGAUGUGGAGGAACACCGAUGGCGAAGGCAGCCCCCUGGGUCAACACUGACGCUCAGGCACGAAAGCAUGGGGAGCAAACAGGAUUAGAUACCCUGGUAGUCCAUGCCCUAAACGAUGUCAACUAGUUGUCGGGCCUUUACGGGCUUGGUAACGUAGCUAACGCGUGAAGUUGACCGCCUGGGGAGUACGAUCGCAAGAUUAAAACUCAAAUGAAUUGACGGGGACCCGCACAAGCGGUGGAUUAUGUGGAUUAAUUCGAUGCAACGCGAAAAACCUUACCUACCCUUGACAUGUAUCGAAGCCCGCAGAAAAGCGGGGGUGCCCGAAAGGGAACGAUAACACAGGUGCUGCAUGGCUGUCGUCAGCUCGUGUCGUGAGAUGUUGGGUUAAGUCCCGCAACGAGCGCAACCCUUGUCAUUAAUUGCCAUCAUUUAGUUGGGCACUUUAAUGAGACUGCCGG
This 916-nucleotide ribosomal RNA is filed under the name uncultured bacterium. RNAcentral's name for it is "bacterial SSU rRNA". It matches the Rfam family "Bacterial small subunit ribosomal RNA", at positions 246 to 1155 of the family's 1533-position model. The record is from RNAcentral.